RNAcentral lists this ribosomal RNA (484 nucleotides) under uncultured bacterium. Its description in RNAcentral is "partial 16S ribosomal RNA". It matches the Rfam family "Bacterial small subunit ribosomal RNA", at positions 30 to 507 of the family's 1533-position model. The record is from RNAcentral.
AUUGAACGCUGGCGGCAGGCCUAACACAUGCAAGUCGAGCGGAUGAAGGGAGCUUGCUCCUGGAUUCAGCGGCGGACGGGUGAGUAAUGCCUAGGAAUCUGCCUGGUAGUGGGGGAUAACGUCCGGAGACGGGCGCUAAUACCGCAUACGUCCUGAGGGAGAAAGUGGGGGAUCUUCGGACCUCACGCUAUCAGAUGAGCCUAGGUCGGAUUAGCUAGUUGGUGGGGUAAAGGCCUACCAAGGCGACGAUCCGUAACUGGUCUGAGAGGAUGAUCAGUCACACUGGAACUGAGACACGGUCCAGACUCCUACGGGAGGCAGCAGUGGGGAAUAUUGGACAAUGGGCGAAAGCCUGAUCCAGCCAUGCCGCGUGUGUGAAGAAGGUCUUCGGAUUGUAAAGCACUUUAAGUUGGGAGGAAGGGCAGUAAGUUGAUACCUUGCUGUUUUGACGUUACCAACAGAAUAAGCACCGGCUAACUUCGUG